CCUACGGGAGGCAGCAGUCGAGAAUCAUUCACAAUGGGGGAAACCCUGAUGGUGCGACGCCGCGUGGGGGAAUGUAGGUCUUCGGAUUGUAAACCCCUGUCAUGUGGGAGCAAAUUAAAAAGAUAGUACCACAAGAGGAAGAGACGGCUAACUCUGUGCCAGCAGCCGCGGUAAUACAGAGGUCUCAAGCGUUGUUCGGAAUCACUGGGCGUAAGGCGUGCGUAGGCUGUUUCGUAAGUCGUGUGUGAAAGGCGCGGGCUCAACCCGCGGACGGCACAUGAUACUGCGAGACUAGAGUAAUGGAGGGGGAACCGGAAUUCUCGGUGUAGCAGUGAAAUGCGUAGAUAUCGAGAGGAACACUCGUGGCGAAGGCGGGUUCCUGGACAUUAACUGACGCUGAGGCACGAAGGCCAGGGGAGCGAAAGGGAUUAGAUACCCUUGUAGUC
This 446-nucleotide ribosomal RNA is filed under the name uncultured bacterium. Its description in RNAcentral is "partial 16S ribosomal RNA". It matches the Rfam family "Bacterial small subunit ribosomal RNA", at positions 338 to 795 of the family's 1533-position model. The record is from RNAcentral.